Manis javanica (Malayan pangolin) is the source of this 535-nucleotide non-coding RNA. The record is from RefSeq and is a predicted model, not a curated record. NCBI's taxonomy places the organism in Eukaryota, Metazoa, Chordata, Mammalia, Pholidota, Manidae.
CUGAUCCAACCUCGUCACAUUACAGAUGAGAAAAUUGAGACCCAAAGAGGUUAAAAGGCUUACCUGAAGUGGAGUUUGGAACUUUGAAGUGAAACUGCUUCCUGCCACACGUCAGCCAGUGGAGCAAGUCUGCACCUGUUCAUCUGGUCGUUGGUUGCAGAAGGAUUGAAAGAGAAGAACUGUCUGCCUUUGAGCUAAGGCAUCUUAAAUACUUAUUACUCUGAUUCACUUUCCAGCAUUCAUCCUCACUGCAGUUUCCUUUCAUCUUGACACUAAAAACAAUGUACUGAUAUGAAUCUACUCUACAAGCAAGCUUUGGAUACAAGGCCUAACAGAAAUGACAAGAUGCAGUCACUGUGCUCAUGGCACUUAAAACAGUGGGUCCUGUGGAUAGAACAAAAUCUUAAGAAUGGCCUGCUGAGUGCUGAGCAUUCUUUCACUUGUAAGAAAUUAAACUCAGAAACACUAAACACAGUUCCUUGAUGUGAUUUCCUGUGAAGAGGUUUAUUGCUCAUAGGAAUUUAGUGGAGGUGCC